RNAcentral lists this ribosomal RNA (764 nucleotides) under uncultured Streptococcus sp. Its description in RNAcentral is "bacterial SSU rRNA". It matches the Rfam family "Bacterial small subunit ribosomal RNA", at positions 28 to 776 of the family's 1533-position model. The record is from RNAcentral. Lineage: Bacteria; Bacillati; Bacillota; Bacilli; Lactobacillales; Streptococcaceae.
GACGAACGCUGGCGGCGUGCCUAAUACAUGCAAGUAGAACGCUGAAGAGAGGAGCUUGCUCUUCUGGAUGAGUUGCGAACGGGUGAGUAACGCGUAGGUAACCUGCCUUGUAGCGGGGGAUAACUAUUGGAAACGAUAGCUAAUACCGCAUAACAAUGGAUGACACAUGUCAUUUAUUUGAAAGGGGCAAUUGCUCCACUACAAGAUGGACCUGCGUUGUAUUAGCUAGUAGGUGAGGUAACGGCUCACCUAGGCGACGAUACAUAGCCGACCUGAGAGGGUGAUCGGCCACACUGGGACUGAGACACGGCCCAGACUCCUACGGGAGGCAGCAGUAGGGAAUCUUCGGCAAUGGGGGCAACCCUGACCGAGCAACGCCGCGUGAGUGAAGAAGGUUUUCGGAUCGUAAAGCUCUGUUGUAAGUCAAGAACGAGUGUGAGAGUGGAAAGUUCACACUGUGACGGUAGCUUACCAGAAAGGGACGGCUAACUACGUGCCAGCAGCCGCGGUAAUACGUAGGUCCCGAGCGUUGUCCGGAUUUAUUGGGCGUAAAGCGAGCGCAGGCGGUUUGAUAAGUCUGAAGUUAAAGGCUGUGGCUCAACCAUAGUUCGCUUUGGAAACUGUCAAACUUGAGUGCAGAAGGGGAGAGUGGAAUUCCAUGUGUAGCGGUGAAAUGCGUAGAUAUAUGGAGGAACACCGGUGGCGAAAGCGGCUCUCUGGUCUGUAACUGACGCUGAGGCUCGAAAGCGUGGGGAGCGAACAGG